This 589-nucleotide ribosomal RNA is filed under the name uncultured archaeon. RNAcentral's name for it is "bacterial SSU rRNA". It matches the Rfam family "Archaeal small subunit ribosomal RNA", at positions 309 to 905 of the family's 1478-position model. The record is from RNAcentral.
GAAUUCACUAGUGAUUACGGGGUGCAGCAGGCGCGAAAACUGCACAAUGCUGGAAACAGCGAUGCGGGUAUUCCAAGUGCCAGCACUAAGUGUUGGCUGUUCCAUUGUCUAAAAAACAUAGGAAGUAAGGGCUGGGUAAGACGGGUGCCAGCCGCCGCGGUAAUACCUGCAGCCCGAGUGGUGGCCGUUAUUAUUGGGCCUAAAACGUCCGUAGCCGGCUGAGUAGAUGCCUGUGUAAAUCGAACGGCUUAACCGUUCGAACUGCGGGUAGACCGCUCAGCUUGGGAUCGGGAGAGUCACGAAGUACUCCGGGGGUAGAGGUGAAAUUCUGUAAUCCUCGGGGGACUACCGGUGGCGAAGGCGUCGUGAUAGAACGGCUCCGACGGUGAGGGACGAAGCCCUGGGGCGCAAACCGGAUUAGAUACCCGGGUAGUCCAGGGUGUAACGCUGCGGUCUUGGUGUCGGGAGUCCUACGCGGGCACCCGGUACCGGAGAGAAGUUGUUAAGACCGUUGCCUGGGGAGUACGGCCGCAAGGUUGAAACUUAAAGGAAUUGGCGGGGGAGCACAGGAAUUGGCGGGGGAGCACAA